CAUGGAAGUCGAAAUCCG
Molecule: small nuclear RNA, 18 nt
Filed under: Arabidopsis thaliana (thale cress)
Lineage: Eukaryota; Viridiplantae; Streptophyta; Magnoliopsida; Brassicales; Brassicaceae
Description: snRNA_03387
Source: RNAcentral